RNAcentral lists this transfer RNA (415 nucleotides) under uncultured marine alpha proteobacterium. RNAcentral's name for it is "16S-23S intergenic spacer region". The stretch from base 100 to 173 matches the Rfam family "tRNA". Lineage: Bacteria; Pseudomonadati; Pseudomonadota; Alphaproteobacteria. The record is from RNAcentral.
UCUAAGGAUGAGUGAAAGUAAAAUUUCACUCUAAAUAAUAUACAUCGGUAAUGUUGACCGUCCUCAUUUCUCUUCUUAAAGUAAUGUUUCCUUCUUGUAGGGCCGGUAGCUCAGUUGGUUAGAGCACACCCUUGAUAAGGGUGGGGUCGAAAGUUCGAGUCUUUCUCGGCCCACCAAAAACCUAAAUGGGGGAUUAGCUCAUCUGGGAGAGCGCCUGAUUUGCAUUCAGGAGGUAGCAGGUUCGAUCCCUGUAUCCUCCACCAGGAAACAUUUAGUUAUUAAAACUGUAAAUAAAAAUAAUUUAUAUCAAUAUCUAUAUCCGAACAUUAAAAGUUAUUAUUUAAUGUUCAAAAUAAAAAUUUGAUCACAACAUAGAUAAAUUUUCUGUUAAAAGAAUUUUUUUCUGUGCAUAAAU